AGAGACUACGACGACGGUGCGCUCUGUGACGCGGACAGAGAAGAGUAUUUUAAUAUUAUGUAACGUAUUAAGUUUGUAUAGUAGGAAAGGGCAAAUAAAAUGGGAUGUACGAUAUUUAUAUUCGGCAGCAUUCCGACUGGGUGGUCCACACCUUCAUAUCGACUAUAAUAUAUAUUAUAGCCAUAACCGCGUUCGGUCGACCAAUAAUAAUAAUCGUCACCAGACAUUAAUGUCCGCCCCGGUAAUGCACCCGGUACACUAAUCUAAAUUAUCGUCCGGUAUUGAUCGUAAAGACUUUGUUGGUUGCGGUAUGGUUGUCGCCCGGAACAUAAAAAAAAAAAAAAAAA
Non-coding RNA from Cinara cedri, 347 nucleotides. NCBI's taxonomy places the organism in Eukaryota, Metazoa, Arthropoda, Insecta, Hemiptera, Aphididae. The record is from the annotation of a GenBank genome assembly.